ACGGGUGAGUAACACGUGGGCAAUCUGCCCUUCACUCUGGGACAAGCCCUGGAAACGGGGUCUAAUACCGGAUAUCACUGCCACUCGCAUGGGUGGUGGUUGAAAGCUCCGGCGGUGAAGGAUGAGCCCGCGGCCUAUCAGCUUGUUGGUGAGGUAAUGGCUCACCAAGGCGACGACGGGUAGCCGGCCUGAGAGGGCGACCGGCCACACUGGGACUGAGACACGGCCCAGACUCCUACGGGAGGCAGCAGUGGGGAAUAUUGCACAAUGGGCGAAAGCCUGAUGCAGCGACGCCGCGUGAGGGAUGACGGCCUUCGGGUUGUAAACCUCUUUCAGCAGGGAAGAAGCGAAAGUGACGGUACCUGCAGAAGAAGCGCCGGCUAACUACGUGCCAGCAGCCGCGGUAAUACGUAGGGCGCAAGCGUCGUCCGGAAUUAUUGGGCGUAAAGAGCUCGUAGGCGGCUUGUCACGUCGGGUGUGAAAGCCCGGGGCUUAACCCCGGGUCUGCAUUCGAUACGGGCUAGCUAGAGUGUGGUAGGGGAGAUCGGAAUUCCUGGUGUAGCGGUGAAAUGCGCAGA
RNAcentral lists this ribosomal RNA (578 nucleotides) under uncultured bacterium. RNAcentral's name for it is "bacterial SSU rRNA". It matches the Rfam family "Bacterial small subunit ribosomal RNA", at positions 102 to 694 of the family's 1533-position model. The record is from RNAcentral.